UUGUUACGACUUCACCCCAAUCAUGGACCAUACCUUGGACGGCUGCCUCCUUGCGGUUGGCUCACCGGCUUCUAGUGCAGUCCACUUUCGUGAUGUGACGGGCGGUGUGUACAAGGCCCGGGAACGUAUUCACCGCAGCGUUCUGAUCUGCGAUUACUAGCGAUUCCAGCUUCAUGGAGUCGAAUUGCAGACUCCAAUCCGAACUGAGGCCGGCUUUUUCCGAUUAGCUCCCCUUCGCAGGUUUGCGACGGUUUGUACCGACCAUUGUAGCACGUGUGUAGCCCUGGACAUAAAGGCCAUGAGGACUUGACGUCAUCCCCACCUUCCUCCCCGUUAUCCGGGGCGGUUUCACUAGAGUGCCCGACUUGACUCGCUGGCAACUAGGGAUAAGGGUUGCGCUCGUUGCGGGACUUAACCCAACAUCUCACGACACGAGCUGACGACAGCCAUGCAGCACCUCCGCGGCAGU
RNAcentral lists this ribosomal RNA (469 nucleotides) under uncultured Acidobacteriota bacterium. Its description in RNAcentral is "uncultured Acidobacteria bacterium partial 16S ribosomal RNA". Lineage: Bacteria; Pseudomonadati; Acidobacteriota. The record is from RNAcentral.